Andrographis paniculata is the source of this 763-nucleotide long non-coding RNA. RefSeq lists it as uncharacterized. Lineage: Eukaryota; Viridiplantae; Streptophyta; Magnoliopsida; Lamiales; Acanthaceae. The transcript has 3 exons. The record is from RefSeq and is a predicted model, not a curated record.
GGAUGUUUAAUUAAACUUUUAAUAUGCCUCAGCGAGAUAUCGUAGGUUUUCGUGACUGUUCAGGCCUCAUAUUGCGUAUUAGCAUGGAUUCACUAAGUGUAGAAGUAUACAAUGAUACGAUCCGUGGAUUUCCAAAGCGAUGUAGACUGUUAAUGUAGGGGUGGUAAAAUAACUGCUAUUAUGACGACCCAUGUUUAUUGAAGGAUGUUUGGUUUAAAGAUCAAGCUGCAAUUACAUAGGAAAUUAGGGUAUAAUGUGCUUCGCUACCUAACUCAUGAAUGUAAUACCAUGUACUGUACGACAUGUCUGAAUGUGACACACUUUCCUUGGUCAAGGUCUUCGUGACAUCCGCGUCAGUCCCAGACACACCCCUUAUUUUGCCGACCAUUUCUGGGGCGACUACCCUUCGCGAUGUCGUCGGCGAAGAUCCUAUUGAGUGGAGCUACAAGGACCUCAUGCGCCGGGCUUGAAAUGUUGGUACCGAUACACCCAUGUUAAUUGCCCCGUUUGUCAUAUGGAUUGAAUGUCGAACCUGUCUUUGGAUGGAUUGUGUUGAGUUUUUGUUGAACUAUGUCUGGAAUUGAUGCGUAGACCUUUGUGGUUUGAAUUUGUAUGGUGAAAAAUGUGCCUAAUGGGAUUGAUGGAUAACCGUAUUUGCUUAUUGCGUUGUUUACUUGUGUUUGAACUGUUAAGCACGUUUUGCGGAACAGGUUGUUGAUGUGUAGAUACUAGUAGGCUUGUUCUAUGGGUUGCUUUACUUUGU